This 253-nucleotide ribosomal RNA is filed under the name uncultured bacterium. Its description in RNAcentral is "partial 16S ribosomal RNA". It matches the Rfam family "Bacterial small subunit ribosomal RNA", at positions 524 to 776 of the family's 1533-position model. The record is from RNAcentral.
UACGGAGGGUGCUAGCGUUGCUCGGAAUCACUGGGCGUAAAGGGUGCGUAGGCGGGUUUUUAAGUCAGGGGUGAAAUCCUGGAGCUCAACUCCAGAACUGCCUUUGAUACUGAAGAUCUUGAGUCCGGGAGAGGUGAGUGGAACUGCGAGUGUAGAGGUGAAAUUCGUAGAUAUUCGCAAGAACACCAGUGGCGAAGGCGGCUCACUGGCCCGGUACUGACGCUGAGGCACGAAAGCGUGGGGAGCAAACAGG